GUGUCAGCAGCCGCGGUAAUACGGGGGGAGCAAGCGUUGUUCGGAUUUACUGGGCGUAAAGGGCGCGUAGGCGGUCACUACAAGUCAGCUGUGAAAUCUCCGGGCUUAACUCGGAACGGUCAGCUGAUACUGUCGGACUAGAGUGCAGAAGGGGCAACUGGAAUUCUCGGUGUAGCGGUGAAAUGCGUAGAUAUCGAGAGGAACACCUGCGGCGAAGGCGGGUUGCUGGGCUGACACUGACGCUGAGGCGCGAAAGCUAGGGGAGCGAACGGGAUUAGAUACCCCAGUAGUCC
RNAcentral lists this ribosomal RNA (293 nucleotides) under uncultured bacterium. Its description in RNAcentral is "partial 16S ribosomal RNA". It matches the Rfam family "Bacterial small subunit ribosomal RNA", at positions 505 to 796 of the family's 1533-position model. The record is from RNAcentral.